CUCCAAUUGUGGCUGAUUGUCCUUUAUAUAGUGUUCUCACCCAUCGUAUGUAAUUGGGGCCGAUUCCUAUGGUUUCAAGGGUGGUGAAUAGGAAGGUCCAGUCUACUCGGUCGAACGCCUUUUCAGCGUCCACCGAGAGGAGUAUUGUUGGUUCCCUGGUGGUAGAGGCACCAUGUAUGAGGUUGAGUAUUCUUGUGGUAUUGUCCCUCGCCUCCCUGCCGGGGAUGAAACCCGC
Pelobates cultripes (western spadefoot toad) is the source of this 235-nucleotide non-coding RNA. The record is from the annotation of a GenBank genome assembly. NCBI's taxonomy places the organism in Eukaryota, Metazoa, Chordata, Amphibia, Anura, Pelobatidae.